UUCUCCCUCUUCUCCCUCAGACCUCUCACUCGACGCAGUACUCUCGUAUUCUCCCUCUCGAACCUCUCACUCGAAGCAGAACUCUCCAUCUUCUCCCUCUCCAUUAUCUUGACUCUUCUCUCUCACCCUGACGCCCUCACCCCCUUCAAUCCCAAACCCUAGAAAAAUUCAACAACCUCUCACUCGACGCAGUACUCUCCCUCUCGAACCUCUCACUCGAAGCAGAACUGAUCUCCCUCUUGUUCCUCUCCAUUACCUCAAACUCUUUUCUCUCACCCCUUCUCUCUCACCCUGACGCCUUCACCUCCUUCAAUCCCGAAUCCUAGAAAAAUUCAGCAAAACCUUUGAAGACCCAUCUCCCUCACCCCCUUCAGUAGAAGAAAUCGUCCUCAAAUGUACGUUUUUUUUUUCCAAUUUUUUUUAAAUCUCUACCUUCCAAACGGCUCUUCAAAUAGGCCCUACUAGUCCUAACUUUUCUUCCUAGAGAAGCAUAGUCUUUUGAGAGAGAGAGAGAGAGAGAGGGGGGAGCUUUCUCUUACAUCGCUCUAUCACUACCAAAUCUUCAAGGAAAAACAAGAUUUCAAUUCUUCAUUUGGGCAGAUAUACUUCAAUCAAUACUACCAAAACAAUUUUGACAAGAGAGAAUGACCUUCAGAAGAGGGAGGAUGCUUUAUUGUUGCGUGAGUAUGAAGCUCAACAAAAAAAAAAAAAAAUGAACAAACUAAUAGAGAGAGAAUAAGCUUCACAAACAAGAGGACGAACUUCGAAGAAGGAUAGCAGAGAAUAGGAAUGCACGUAUAUUGUUGUGUCUAUAUUGGAUUGUAUCUCUUGUAAUAGUUUUUGGUCGGUUCUGAAUGUAGAUGCAUCAUGUUAGUUUUAAAUGUAAAUAGACUGAUUGGAUCCUAAUGUGUAUGAUAUAUUCUCUAAGAAUAUAAUUAUGACAGCUUAUUAUGGAUAUUAAGUUCACUUUUCUGCAUUGUAGUUGACAUUAUUUUUGAAGUAAAUUUUGGAGUUGGCAUGAA
Long non-coding RNA from Juglans regia (Persian walnut), 1022 nucleotides. RefSeq lists it as uncharacterized. The record is from RefSeq and is a predicted model, not a curated record. The transcript is spliced from 2 exons. Lineage: Eukaryota; Viridiplantae; Streptophyta; Magnoliopsida; Fagales; Juglandaceae.